GUUUGAGUCCACUCCGUGGCGCCCUCCUAUUGUUCUUUGUGUAGUCAUGACCAGCACGCGCAGGUGCCAAAAGGAGUAUUACGAAGUAAUAAACUCUAAUCUUUCUGAAAUUGUGGACAUUGAGUUGAAAGAUAACAAUAUUUUAAGAUGGAAAGGGCUUUUAGUUCCCUGUCAGCCACCCUAUAAAAAAGGCGCUUUUGAGUUUUCCAUCGAAUUUCCAGAAAAUUACCCUUUCCGACCCCCCAAACUUGCUUUUUUAACUCCCAUAAAACAUCCGAAUAUUGAUGAGAAUGGGACUAUUUGUAUUCCCAUUUUAAAAGAUGAGAACUGGAGACCUACUAUUAAAGUCUUAGAUGUAUUUAAGUCUCUUUGUCAUCUUAUUCAUAAUCCGGAUCUUUCUAGUCCAAUAAACGAAGAAGAAGCCAGAUAUUAUACCUAUAACAAACAAAUAUGGAUUGGACUUGUAGAGGACCAUGUUUACCGUCACGCUUAUAAGCUAAGGAAGAAGCGCAAACUAGCUUAACUAUUUUCUAACUUCUUUUUUAAAAGCUAAAGCUUUCCUAGGAGGACGAUUGGCUUGAAGCUCCUUGCUAACAACUCAUAAAUAUACUUAAGAAUCCUUUUAAAAGUUUUAUAACA
Long non-coding RNA from Zophobas morio, 639 nucleotides. RefSeq lists it as uncharacterized. Lineage: Eukaryota; Metazoa; Arthropoda; Insecta; Coleoptera; Tenebrionidae. The record is from RefSeq and is a predicted model, not a curated record. The transcript is spliced from 3 exons.